RNAcentral lists this long non-coding RNA (762 nucleotides) under Marmota monax (woodchuck). Lineage: Eukaryota; Metazoa; Chordata; Mammalia; Rodentia; Sciuridae. The record is from RNAcentral.
GGAUAUUUAAGUCAUGAGGACCAAGCCCUUACAAACAAAAUUAGUACCUUUUUAAGAGACCUGAAAGACCUCCCCUGCCCCUUUUGCUGUGGAUGGACACAGAAAGAAGAUGGCCAUUUCAAACCAGGAAAUGGAGUCCUCAUUGAUACCAGAUCUUCUGGUGCCUUGAUCUUGAACCACUUAGCUUCUAGAACUGUGAGAAGUAAAAUUUGUUUUUUAAACCACUAAGUCUAUAGUUUUUUUUAUUAUAGCAGUGAAAAUGAACUAAGAUAAAUUGGUACCAAGAAGUGGGGUAUUCCUAUAAUAAAUACCUAAAAAUGUGGAAGUGCCUUGUAAGUGGGUAAUGAGGAGAGCCUGGAAGAAUUUGGAGAUUCAUGCUAGUAAAAGUCUACACUGGGACUUGGGAUAUAGCUCAGUGUUACAGUGCUUGCUUAUUAUGUACAAUGCAGGAAAUAGUAGGGAUGGGGGAAGGAGGGAGAGAGAGAGAAAGAGAAAGAGAACACGGACAGACAUACAUGGAAGGAGGGAAGAGGAGGAGGGAGAAAGAGCCUACAGCCUAUAUUCUCAUAAAUAGAUCUUUAAAGUUUCUGGUGAGGGUUUGGAAUGAAACGAAGAGAGCAGUAGAGAAAGCCUCAAUCUUUUUUUUUUUUUUAACUUAUUUAUUCUACUUGGUUAUACAUGACAGCAGAAUACAUUUUUAAUUCAUAGUACAGCUAUAGAGCACAGUUUUUCAUGUCUCUGGUUGUAUACAAAGUAGAGUCA